This 68-nucleotide transfer RNA is filed under the name Heterocephalus glaber (naked mole-rat). It matches the Rfam family "tRNA". Rfam says of the family: Transfer RNA (tRNA) molecules are approximately 80 nucleotides in length. Their secondary structure includes four short double-helical elements and three loops (D, anti-codon, and T loops). Lineage: Eukaryota; Metazoa; Chordata; Mammalia; Rodentia; Bathyergidae. The record is from Rfam by way of RNAcentral.
GGGGAUGUAGCUCAGAGGUAGAGCACUUGACUAGCAAAAUCAAGGCCUAGGUUUGAUUCUUAGCACCA